UACGUAGGGUGCGAGCGUUGCCCGGAUUUACUGGGCGUAAAGGGCGCGUAGGCGGCAAUUCAAGUCAUCUGUGAAAUCUCCGGGCUUAACUCGGAACGGUCAGAUGAUACUGCUUUGCUCGAGUGCGGAAGGGGCAAUCGGAAUUCUUGGUGUAGCGGUGAAAUGCGUAGAUAUCAAGAGGAACACCUGAGGUGAAGACGGGUUGCUGGGCCGACACUGACGCUGAAGCGCGAAAGCCAGGGGAGCAAACGGG
This 253-nucleotide ribosomal RNA is filed under the name uncultured bacterium. Its description in RNAcentral is "partial 16S ribosomal RNA". It matches the Rfam family "Bacterial small subunit ribosomal RNA", at positions 524 to 776 of the family's 1533-position model. The record is from RNAcentral.